This is a non-coding RNA of Caenorhabditis elegans, 21 nucleotides long. The record is from Ensembl. NCBI's taxonomy places the organism in Eukaryota, Metazoa, Nematoda, Chromadorea, Rhabditida, Rhabditidae.
UUUUAGAGACACAUUUCUAGA